Molecule: ribosomal RNA, 253 nt
Filed under: uncultured prokaryote
Description: partial 16S ribosomal RNA
Rfam family: Bacterial small subunit ribosomal RNA
Source: RNAcentral
ACAGAGGUCCCGAGCGUUGUUCGGAUUCACUGGGCGUAAAGGGUGCGUAGGUGGUGAUGAAGGUUUGAUGUGAAAUCUCCGAGCUUAACUCGGAAAAUGCAUUGAAAACUACAUUGCUAGAGGUUUGGAGGGGGGACUGGAAUACUUGGUGUAGCAGUGAAAUGCGUAGAUAUCAAGUGGAACACCAGUGGCGAAGGCGAGUCCCUGGACAACACCUGACACUGAGGCACGAAAGCUAGGGGAGCAAACAGGA